Molecule: unclassified non-coding RNA, 240 nt
Filed under: uncultured Chalara
Lineage: Eukaryota; Fungi; Ascomycota; Leotiomycetes; Helotiales
Description: sequence contains ITS2
Rfam family: 5.8S ribosomal RNA (bases 1-52)
Source: RNAcentral
AACGCACAUUGCGCCCUGUGGUAUUCCGCAGGGCAUGCCUGUUCGAGCGUCAGUACAACACUCAAGCUUAGCUUGGUCUUGAGCCUAGCCGGUCACGGCGGGCUUUAAAAUUAGUGGCGGUGCCACCUGGCUCUAAGCGUAGUAAUACUCCUCGCUAUUGAGUCCUGGUGGACGCUGGCCAGCAACCCCCAACUUUCUAAGUUUGACCUCGGAUCAGGUAGGGAUACCCGCUGAACUUAA